This 170-nucleotide long non-coding RNA is filed under the name Sus scrofa (pig). RNAcentral's name for it is "lncRNA (ENSSSCG00015008140.1)". Lineage: Eukaryota; Metazoa; Chordata; Mammalia; Artiodactyla; Suidae. The record is from RNAcentral.
UUUUUUUUUUUUUUUUUUUUUUUUUUUUCUGCUACUGGAGAAAGCAUAGAUGCAGAGAGAUCCUCUAGAUUCAGGUGGGUACUUCAUCCACAACCUCCACUGCUGGGAUUUUCACAGUUUUUGCUCAAGGAAUACUUUGGAUGUUCGAUGACCCAGAAGGCCUACUGCAG